Molecule: ribosomal RNA, 253 nt
Filed under: uncultured bacterium
Lineage: Bacteria
Description: partial 16S ribosomal RNA
Rfam family: Bacterial small subunit ribosomal RNA
Source: RNAcentral
UACGAAGGGGGCUAGCGUUGCUCGGAAUCACUGGGCGUAAAGCGCACGUAGGCGGACUCUUAAGUCGGUGGUGAAAUCCUGGAGCUCAACUCCAGAACUGCCUUCGAUACUGAGAGUCUCGAGUCCGAGAGAGGUGAGUGGAACUGCGAGUGUAGAGGUGAAAUUCGUAGAGAUCCGGAAGAACACCGGUGGCGAAGGCGGCCUGCUGGGCAGUUGCUGACACUGAGGCGCGACAGCGUGGGGAGCAAACAGG